Molecule: long non-coding RNA, 746 nt
Organism: Agrilus planipennis (emerald ash borer)
Lineage: Eukaryota; Metazoa; Arthropoda; Insecta; Coleoptera; Buprestidae
Exons: 2
Source: RefSeq, a predicted model, not a curated record
UUUUUACAGAUUUCACAGUCAGAGAUAAUUUUCGCCACUCUACUAGCAUCCCUUUAAUUUGUCCUAACACAGUUUUUGUCACCAACGAUGACGUUCCUUCUUCAGUUUUGACUUCGAUCCAUCCUUCUGCAUGACGCUUCUGCAAAAAUUACUUACCACAGCAUUUCGUAUGUACCAUGUAAAGAUUUUUAUUAUUAAUUCUUUAUUUUUAGGUGUACCAUUCCUAGCAAAACCUAUUAUACGGGAGAGGGAUUUUAGUUGGUAGGUCCUCCUGUGAGGGAAUCCAACACUACCCAGUCGUACGGACGGCUGGGUGUCUUUCGAAGAUUUCCCCUCUUCCACAAAAAAAAAAAAAAAAAAAAAACUAAACGAUCUAAUGACUUUUAUUGCUGGUGUUCUCAGAUGGGCGGAAUAGCCAUUUAUUUCCACUACCCACUCGCUGGUAUUAAGUAAUUUGGAAUUGUUUACAACCCCUUUUCUUCAAUAUUGUUUCAGUGUUCGGCAUCAAUUUCUAUCUGAACACGUAAGUUGCUACAACUAUUUUUUACCUUCAUUAUUAAUUAUCUUGUGUUCAAAAUGUUAAUUGUACAUUAUUGAAAGGUUUUAGUUAAAAAUUGUUAAACUGUAUUACUGUUUCUUCUGUUUUGUGGCCUUUUCUAUUUCCUCAAUUGUCUCUUCAAAUUACAUAAAAUAUUUUAUUUUGUACAAGUGUAUUUGUUAACAUUCAAUAAAUUUUUUUUACUAUU